Long non-coding RNA from Rana temporaria (common frog), 303 nucleotides. RefSeq lists it as uncharacterized. Lineage: Eukaryota; Metazoa; Chordata; Amphibia; Anura; Ranidae. The record is from RefSeq and is a predicted model, not a curated record. The transcript has 3 exons.
CUGUGUCUUCCUCCCAUUUCCACAAUGUCAGACAUUGCUGGAUGGCUGCAGCAGCUGUACACACUCUACACUGCUUGUGUUUUCUUCCCAUCUUCCGAUCCCUCUACUGACCUCUCUGGCCACUUUUUGUCAUUACAGGUAAAAAUAUAUAUAUAUACAAUCAAUAAACUUUUACGCUGUGACACUUCGGGCCAAAGGUCUUGCUACGCUGUGAUUGAUAUUAGAUGCCAGUCCUCACUCCUCUCCUUACCAUCUGAGGCUUGCCAUGCGUCCCGAUUGCGAUGUCCUUUUAAGGGGUGUGCU